GACGAACGCUGGCGGCGUGCCUAAUACAUGCAAGUAGAACGCACAGUUUAUACCGUAGCUUGCUACACCAUAAACUGUGAGUUGCGAACGGGUGAGUAACGCGUAGGUAACCUGCCUGGUAGCGGGGGAUAACUAUUGGAAGCGAUAGCUAAUACCGCAUAAUAUUGAUUAUUGCAUGAUAAUUGAUUGAAAGAUGCUAUUGCAUCACUACCAGAUGGACCUGCGUUGUAUUAGCUAGUAGGUGAGGUAACGGCUCACCUAGGCGACGAUACAUAGCCGACCUGAGAGGGUGAUCGGCCACACUGGGACUGAGACACGGCCCAGACUCCUACGGGAGGCAGCAGUAGGGAAUCUUCGGCAAUGGACGAAAGUCUGACCGAGCAACGCCGCGUGAGUGAAGAAGGUUUUCGGAUCGUAAAGCUCUGUUGUAAGAGAAGAACGGGUGUGAGAGUGGAAAGUUCACACUGUGACGGUAUCUUACCAGAAAGGGACGGCUAACUACGUG
RNAcentral lists this ribosomal RNA (505 nucleotides) under uncultured bacterium. Its description in RNAcentral is "partial 16S ribosomal RNA". It matches the Rfam family "Bacterial small subunit ribosomal RNA", at positions 28 to 507 of the family's 1533-position model. The record is from RNAcentral.